RNAcentral lists this small nucleolar RNA (104 nucleotides) under Castor canadensis (American beaver). RNAcentral's name for it is "Small nucleolar RNA SNORA25 (ENSCCNG00000001630.1)". Lineage: Eukaryota; Metazoa; Chordata; Mammalia; Rodentia; Castoridae. The record is from RNAcentral.
AAGUCAUUUCAAAGAGGCUUUGUGGGGCUGUGAAACCAAAAGCUGUUAACGCUGUGACCUAAAAUUGAAGUUCUCACUAGGGUGAAGGUCAGUGAGAGAUGAAU